UACGAAGGGAGCGAGCGUUGUUCGGAAUCACUGGGCUUAAAGCGUGCGUAGGCGGAUAUAUAAGUCAGGAGUGAAAUCCCAGGGCUUAACCCUGGAACUGCUUUUGAGACUGUAUGUCUGGAAUCCGGUAGAGGUUAGCGGAACUCCCAGUGUAGAGGUGAAAUUCGCAGAUAUUGGGAAGAACACCAGUGGCGAAGGCGGCUAACUGGACCGGAAUUGACGCUGAGGCACGAAAGCGUGGGGAGCAAACAGG
This 253-nucleotide ribosomal RNA is filed under the name uncultured bacterium. Its description in RNAcentral is "partial 16S ribosomal RNA". It matches the Rfam family "Bacterial small subunit ribosomal RNA", at positions 524 to 776 of the family's 1533-position model. The record is from RNAcentral.